RNAcentral lists this ribosomal RNA (254 nucleotides) under uncultured bacterium. RNAcentral's name for it is "partial 16S ribosomal RNA". It matches the Rfam family "Bacterial small subunit ribosomal RNA", at positions 524 to 776 of the family's 1533-position model. The record is from RNAcentral.
UACGGGGGGAGCAAGCGUUGUUCGGAUUUACUGGGCGUAAAGGGCGCGUAGGCGGCCACCCAAAGUCGGUUGUGAAAUCUCUGGGCUUAACCCAGAAAGGUCAACCGAUACUGCGGGGCUAGAGUGCAGAAGGGGCAACUGGAAUUCUCGGUGUAGCGGUGAAAUGCGUAGAUAUCGAGAGGAACACCUGCGGCGAAGGCGGGUUGCUGGGCUGACACUGACGCUGAAGCGCGAAAGCUAGGGGAGCGAACGGG